RNAcentral lists this ribosomal RNA (253 nucleotides) under uncultured bacterium. Its description in RNAcentral is "partial 16S ribosomal RNA". It matches the Rfam family "Bacterial small subunit ribosomal RNA", at positions 524 to 776 of the family's 1533-position model. The record is from RNAcentral.
UACAGAGGUCUCGAGCGUUGUUCGGAUUCAUUGGGCGUAAAGGGUGCGUAGGUGGCGCUGUAAGUCGGGUGUGAAAUCCUGAGGCUUAACCCCGGAACUGCAUUCGAUACUGCGGCGCUUGAGGACUGGAGAGGAGACUGGAAUUCAUGGUGUAGCAGUGAAAUGCGUAGAGAUCAUGAGGAAGACCAGUGGCGAAGGCGGGUCUCUGGACAGUUCCUGACACUGAGGCACGAAGGCCAGGGGAGCAAACGGG